GUCCCGUCAAGCCGCCGCCACUCCUCUCCUCGGGAUCCCAGCAACCUUCACCCUUAUUUCCUCACUGCACCAACCACCGGCCAGAUCCACCAGCCGCCGCUGCGAUCUGGUCUGUUGGAUCAGGAUCCAACGGCAGCCAGCGACCCCAGCCACCCACGCCUCCUCCCCGCAGCUCUCGAUCCGAUCUGAAUCGAGGCCUACCUCCAGCCUGCACCCGCAUGGAGCUCCUCUACGCCCGAGCUGCACCAGGCCCGAGCGACCCCGCCGGAGAGAGCCACCGCCGGAGCUACUCCGUUCCUCGCCCGAACCAGCAUCGAUGCCGCCAUCUUAUUCCCGGAGGAGUACCUCGACAGGAACGCCGCCCGCGGUGCCCCCGAUCUUCCCCGGCGCGACCCCGUUCCGCUGACGCCCCUACGCCAUGCUGCCAUGCCCGGCCUCCCCGCUCACCCUUCUCUCAUUUGGAUCGAGCUCGCGCUCGCUGCAGCCAUGGACUACGAGCCGCAGCUCGCCGGAUCAGCUCCAGGAAACAACCCCACGCGCUGUGGACCCCUCUGCCGCGCCGUGCUCCUUUCCCGAGCUCCUCCUCGUCGUCCCAACAACAGCACCGGAUCCCUUCCUCCUGACCUCCUCUUCCCCUGCUUCUUCCUUCUCCUUCCCAUCCCUGUCUUUCUCUCAUGUUCUCUCUCUCUCUCAGGUACAUGAACGACGCCAUGGCCGCUGCCUCGAGUUCCUGCCACUGCCAAAGACCCGCCCGCGGUCAGAUCCGCCGCCCCGGACCCGUUCCCGGCCGCCGCCUCUCCUUCCCCUGCUCUGCUUCGAGGAGGAAGAUGUUGCUGCCUCGAUCCACGUCAGCGCGUCGCUGCGCGUUGACACCGCUGUCACCUGGGCUGCGUGGCUAGCGCUCCUCCCCACCGAACCGAGCCGGCCCAUCUUCUCCUCUCCUUCGACGCAACCGCCGGCCUGCCUCUACCCCCUCUGUAGACGGGCCAAAGCCCAUGGUUGCAGGUGCCGAUGAAACCAUUGUAGAUGACGCAACCAAGCUCAAGUGGGAGCUCGAUGAAGAUCGUGUUUGUUGUGUUGUUUCGUUUCCAGUUGAU
Molecule: long non-coding RNA, 1097 nt
Organism: Triticum aestivum (bread wheat)
Lineage: Eukaryota; Viridiplantae; Streptophyta; Magnoliopsida; Poales; Poaceae
Exons: 3
Source: RefSeq, a predicted model, not a curated record